UGAAGGAGCAGAGAGAAGCAACAUGCAACAGAUGAAUAUCAGCAACAAGAAGUACAAUUCAUUUUCAUUUAUUGUGGGAGCGUUCCGGUCAUUUUCACCUAAAUGCCACAUCACAAGCUUUAGAGAUGAACAACAAACAAAACAGUGCCGACUUUAAACACUAUCAUAGACUAACAAAAUAAAAGUGAACAAAAAUGCAGGCAUCUUCCCUGUCUUCCUGUCUGUUCCAAAACAGGAGAAAAAAAUUAUUUCUUCAAAACAAAACUAUCCAUCUCCUACAAAUUUGCUUGUACAAUUACUUAUCCGUUUGUUAAAAAAUACAAGGUGACUGUGUGGAAUGUUUCUGUUGAAAUGCUGAUUACUCAUCAGGCUUAUUAAACUUAAAAGUAUCAUGAGAAUAAACAAUGCAGUUGUUUGCAGAAUAGCCUAUUUUGAUUUCAAAAUGCAACAACGAUUAUAAUUGUUCAUGAAGCUAACAUCACACAAGAAGCAGUUAAAGCCUUCGCCUUACAAGUCAGAGAAUAAAUAGAAUAAAUGCAGAUCAAGCAUUUAUUGACAUUUUUUGACGUAUAACUGUGCAAAUUUCUCCAAAAUGUUCCAAUUCAUUGACUACUUUCAUGGGAACCACUUAUUUUUUCCCAUGACUGAGACAUUAUUUAAAUGAUAAACUCUUCAUAUAGUUCUUGAUACAUUUUAGUGUUGUAUUUCAAUAUGUAUAUUUUUUGGUCCAAUGGUGACCAAUUGACCUUAGCGAGCUGUGCCAACACUGUGGGGAGAAGAAUACUAUGGAGGAACAAGGUAAGACAGGGAAAAAACAAAGACAAUCGAUACCUUGGCUAAUUUUAAAAUAAGUCCAUCUGAGUGCUCUGAUCAUUCUGAGGCCCCAUUCAUGCAUGGUACAUCUUUCUUCAGAGGACAUACACAGUAUAUGUAUCACAGCUAGCUAUAUGUUUUACUGUAUCUCAGAUAUUCACCCUAAAUAUCUUGGAAGCAUUAUUACAAGAGCCUUACCCCAUGAAAGCCUACAGCUGUGCAGCGUGUCAAUUUGAAUCUCCACCUCCCCUGCCUUAAUAUUAUGAGUGUUUAAGUUUUUGUUUAAUUAAAGGUACUGUUAACCUGAUAUUACCUCACAUAUAUAUACAUGUGUGUGUAUAUAUGUAUGUAUGCAUGUAUGUAGAGUAUGUAUAUAGAUUAUAGAUAGAAUUUGUGGUAAAACCACAAAAAAAAAAAAAAAAAGGACAAUAAGUUUGAAAGGACAGAUAAGUUUACGUGAAAUUGAAUUUACCUGUGGGGACUGUACAUAACAAUGGGGUCACAUAUUCUGAUGCCCCCUUUAAAUACAUUAGUAGCCUGUUUUUGUGACAUCAGCUUCAUGAACUUUGUUAAACAUUUAAGUUGCAUACAAAAUGCAAAAAUAGGCUACUCUGCAAACAACAGGAUUGUGUUUAUUCUCAUGACAUUUUUAAUUGGUUUAAUAAGUCUGUUUAAUAAUGAGCAUUUCUAAAUAAACAUUCCACACGGUCACUUUAAUUUUUAUUUAUUUAAGAAGCGGUUAAGAAUUUGUACAAACAUAUUCAAAAACAUUCAGGAGUAUCUACAUUAGCUUACAUAACACUUAAGGCUAAAACAUAAGCAGAGGAUUUUUUUGAAUUAAAAAAUAAAAAAAGUUGUUUUUUAUCCAUUUAAAAGUAUAAGAAAAUGAAUAAAUAAAUCCAAGUAAUUUAAUGUGACAGCUGUACUGUUCAUAUUAGACCCAGAUUCUUUCCUGGAUAGGCUAUACAGUAGAGGAGGUUGCACGUUGAAUUGACGCGACCAGACUGUACAGACGCGCUCAUUCAAUGUGUACGCGCGCCAUGAACCUGUACCACUGAUAUAUAUUAUAGAUCAGUGACCUGCACGCUUCCAAUAAUAACCAACUGCAGAACCGCAGAACCAUUACGUCAUAACAGUCUGAGGACGACAGCGCCAGACCGACUGUUUGAGAGCGGAAGUGGGCUGGGUAGCAGUCCGAUGCCGGAAGUGUACGGAGUUCAUGUUUAGACGUGUUUGUUUAGAUUAGACAGUAAAAGGUUUUUAGACAGUAAAAGAUAGACAUUAAAAGGUUUUUAGACAGUAAAAAAUAGACAAUAGAAGGUUAAACUAUGGCGGAGCACACUGUAGAACAAGGAAAAGAAGAAGAGAAAGAGAAGCACAUAUCGAUUUGGGGAUUGUGUUAGUGCUACCACUUCUGAUCCAAUGCACAACAUGUUGCAGAAAUUUUCACUGCCCAUUUUGUGAUGCCAGCAUCUUUAAACCAACAAGACGGAACAAAUUGACCAGUCAUAUGAAAAUUCACUUCAAAAAGGCUGUUGUUCAUGGAGAUUUCACAUUUCGCAGAUGUGGUUUGGGCUGCAGACAAUCUUUUCAUUUCCACUGUCUCUACUGUACAGCCACAAUUCUGAGAAAAUUAGAUUUUCAUAAUCAUUUAGAAGUAUGUAAAGGGAAGCCGCUGUCCACCAGCACUGUUCAUACUACUGGGACCCCAUCAGCCACCAGCACUGUUCAUACUACUGGGACCAGCACUGUUCAUACUAAGAGGCCCUUCUUAAACUUGAUCGGGCGGAAAGAAAAGAUGAUCUGGAACUGGCCAAAAAGCCUUUCAUGUUUCGGUUCCAGUUUCAACAGGACAUGGAAGUUUUUCUUUUCAAAUGUCACGAUGAAAGGCACCUCAGAAUAAACUCCAUGUGUAUGGAGUUUUAA
Long non-coding RNA from Cyprinus carpio (common carp), 2739 nucleotides. RefSeq lists it as uncharacterized. Lineage: Eukaryota; Metazoa; Chordata; Actinopteri; Cypriniformes; Cyprinidae. The record is from RefSeq and is a predicted model, not a curated record.